UGCCAAAGUAAAUGUAGAACCACGUUCAG
RNAcentral lists this non-coding RNA (29 nucleotides) under Mus musculus (house mouse). Lineage: Eukaryota; Metazoa; Chordata; Mammalia; Rodentia; Muridae. The record is from RNAcentral.